Molecule: ribosomal RNA, 382 nt
Filed under: uncultured eukaryote
Lineage: Eukaryota
Description: partial 18S ribosomal RNA
Rfam family: Eukaryotic small subunit ribosomal RNA
Source: RNAcentral
UGUAAGCGUAUACCAAAGUUGUUGCAGAUAAAACGCUCGUAGUCGGAAUUUGGCAGUUCCGGAUGUGUGCACGUCGUGUGCGCACUUCGCGGGGAUUGCUUUUGUGGUCUUGCGUAGGAUGAGGCACUUUUAUUAGUGAACGUCCUCACGCAACCACUUUUUACUGUGAGAAAAUCAGAGUGCUCAAAGCAGGCAUUUGCCGUGAAUGUAUUAGCAUGGAAUAAUAGAAUAGGACUUGGUUCUAUUUUGUUGGUUUGUUGGGACUGAGUAAUGAUUAAGAGGGACAGUUGGGGGCAUUUGUAUUUCGGUGCUAGAGGUGAAAUUCUUAGAUUACCGAAAGACAAACUGCUGCGAAAGCGUCUGCCAAGGAUGUUUUCAUUGA